RNAcentral lists this long non-coding RNA (1941 nucleotides) under Homo sapiens (human). Its description in RNAcentral is "non-protein coding TMEM254-AS1:26". The record is from RNAcentral. Lineage: Eukaryota; Metazoa; Chordata; Mammalia; Primates; Hominidae.
GCACGACUUCCCCCGGCCCGCGGCCUGUGAGCCCAGGUCCUGGGGUGAACCGAGCGCUCGCUCGUUCGUCAGACCGUAGCGCUCCAGCGGCUGUCCUUACUGUGUAGUAGCCAAAGCUGAGGGUGAUGACUGUGAACCAGAACAGACUGCCUCGCUGAAAAGUCACUUGGAACUCUUCUGUGGCAUCUGAAGCAGAUGGACGAAGCCAAGAGGGCCGAGAGUAUCUCAGCACCUAGAAAUGGACAAGGCUGGUUAUUAGAACAAAGAUUUCGCAGGUGGAUCUCCCAUUAACCAGUCAUAAUGAAGUAAGAACAAGAAGAUGGGGAAGAGGAAGUGUAAAACCGUGGCUUAAAUUUGCCAAGGAUAAGCUGAGUGUACUUCAGCAGUCAUUUGCACAGAAUCCUUAUCCUAAUUUUACAACCAGGGAAAAACUGGCUGGACAGUCUCUUGUCCUGUGUUUGUAAUUGAUAACUGGUUUCAAAAUAAAAGCCAGACCACCACUUAGAGAGAGACACAGAAUGUUCACUGCCAGGGAACUGCAUGAUUCCUCUGCCAAAGGCCACCCAUUUACAAGAAUCCAGGAAAACCAGGUGGAAUCUCCCAAUGAUGACCCUGAGCAGAACUUCUUGUACCCAGGAAGUUCUACUGGGUGGAGCUGGCCACUCUUCCGUGGAGACACAGGGGACUCCCAAUUAACAUGAUGGCUCAAAUAACUGUAGCCUUAUGGAUUAAAAGGAAACUAAGCUGUGAUUUGGAGUAUCCAGGUGAUACAGAAAAUGGCCCUUGUCGAUGUAGAUCAGCAUUAUUUCCUUAUCCUUCUGCAUCUCCUCCUCAGUAUUCUGAAAGGGACAAGCCUGAGAUGGGGGAAAGCCAGCAUGCAAGGCCCUCCCCUUUGUGCUGUGUUCAUGGUGUGCACGGAGAGAGGCAGCAGCAGGAGGAACAGAAAGGUUAUUUUCUUUACUGACUCUUUCAAGGACAUCAGCAGAAUGGUUGGGAAUGUCAUCAUGAGCAGCCUCAGCCUCAGAAUUACCAGGAGAAGCUGGUCUUCCAGGAUCAGGUUCUAAUGUAUAUGAGUCACAGGAUUUAGGGAAGCAGGCACUUUCCCUUCAGUCCCAGCAGCAUGGUUGAUGUUCCCAAGUAAUGGAGAGUCCCUGUGCUCUCAGUUGUGGCACACACCUUUGCAAAUAGUGAUCAGAUCUCCACAAACGCCUCUUGGGUAAGAUAUGCAGCAACAUAGCUGGCUGCAGAGCAACCCAGUUCCCAAAUCCAGCAGCUCUUGGAUGAGAAGUCUGCAAGUGUUUACUGCUGGGACCAGGACUGUGUUUCUAGGAAAUGGUGCUAGGCUUCAGAGAGCAUCAUCCACAGGUCAUCCCACAACCAUCCACACAGAAGCCUGAGGAAAAGGGCUCUGCAGAGCUUGCACAUAAAGAUGCUGAACUCAGGAAGGCUCUGUGAGCUGCUGGUCUCUUCUGGUAGGGCAGCAGUGUCCUGAGAAGGUGGAGCUAGAGUAUGGAGAACAAAACUAACAAGCACCAAGGCAGCAAGCAAGGCAACCCCCAAAUGACAGCAGUUGCCAAAUCCAAAGCAAUCUGUGCUUCAGAAGACAGAGGCUCUGCACAGUCCCUGUCUCAGACAUUGUCUCCUCCUUAGAAGAUACCUAACAACAGCACUGUGGGAGGCUGAGGUGGGUGGAUCACCAGGUCAGGAGAUCAAGACCAUCCUUGAUCUUUAGUAGAGACGGUGAAACACUGUCUCUACUAAAAAAUACAAAAAAAAAUUAGCUAGCCGUGGCGGCGGGCACCUGUAGUCUCAACUAUUUGGGAGGCUGAGGCAGGAGAAUGGCCUGAACCCGGGAGGCAGAGCUUGCAGUGAGCUGAGAUUGCGCCACUGCACUCCAGCCUGGGCAACAGAGUGAGACUCCAUCUCAAAAAAAAAAAAAAA